UUGAUUGAUAGUGCUGCUGCCGAAUGCAUGGGUGAGAUGGUGGAACUACCUCCUCGAGUUGAGGCUAGGGAAGCAAAAGAGCCAAGUGUUUCAACAAUGUUGAUGAACUUCAGUAAUGAUUUUGAUCCUUAUGGUGCCUUAAGUACCCCCUUGUAUCAAACAUCUACUUUUAAGCAACCUUCAGCGACCGAAAAUGGGCAAUAUGAUUAUACACGGAGUGGAAAUCCAACAAGGGAUGCGUUGGAAAAGCUUCUUGCAGAGCUUGAGAAAGCAGAUCGAGCAUUUUGCUUUACCAGUGGAAUGGCCGCCUUGGCAGCUGUAACUCGUCUCGUCAAAGCUGGUGAGGAGAUUGUUGCCGGGGAUGACAUAUAUGGUGGUUCUGAUCGGCUGCUCUCACAAGUUGUUCCAAAAGCCGGGAUCGUGGUCAAGCGAGUGGAUACCACUAAUUUAGAUGAGGUUGCUUCUGUGAUUAAACCACGGACAAAGCUUGUUUGGCUGGAAAGCCCAACCAACCCUCGUCAACAAAUUUGUGAUAUUCGUAAAAUAGCCAAGAUCGCUCAUGCACAUGGGGCUCUUGUGCUGGUAGAUAACAGCAUUAUGUCCCCAGUACUGUCCCAUCCUUUGGAGCUCGGAGCAGAUAUUGUGAUGCAUUCUGCUACUAAGUUCAUAUCCGGUCAUAGUGAUCUCAUGGCUGGUGUACUUGCCGUCAGAGGAGAAAGCUUAGCGAAAGAGGUGUACUUCCUACAAAAUGCUGAAGGUGCUGGGUUAGCGCCAUUUGAUUGUUGGCUUUGUUUAAGAGGAAUCAAAACAAUGGCUCUUCGUGUUGAAAAACAACAGGAGAAUGCACAAAAAAUUGCUGAAUUUUUAUCUUCCCAUCCACGAGUGAAAAAGGUCAACUAUGCAGGUCUUCCUAACCAUCCUGGGAGGUCUUUGCACUUCUCUCAGGCUACGGGUGCAGGAUCGGUGCUGAGUUUCCUGACAGGUUCUUUGGCACUCUCUAAGCAUGUUGCUGAGGCUACCAAGUAUUUCAGUAUUACUGUCAGUUUUGGAAGUGUCAAGUCACUCAUAAGCUUGCCUUGCUUCAUGUCCCAUGCGAGCAUACCUGUUGAAGUACGAGAAGCUAGAGGUCUUACUGAGGACCUGGUUCGAAUAUCUGUUGGUAUUGAAGAUGUCAACGACUUGAUAGAUGAUUUAGACUAUGCACUCAAGACUGGGCCUGCAUAGAAGAUUAAGCAAGUUUGUGGAAUUGAUCCCAAGCUUAUGUGCACUUUCUAUUGUAGCGCUUGUCGCGUCGUUUAAUUCAUCUCAAGGGUUUAUUUGAUUUUUGCAAGUUGGUUCAAAAUGAACUUGAUUUUGAG
This 1358-nucleotide unclassified non-coding RNA is filed under the name Hevea brasiliensis (rubber tree). The record is from RNAcentral. Lineage: Eukaryota; Viridiplantae; Streptophyta; Magnoliopsida; Malpighiales; Euphorbiaceae.